Molecule: ribosomal RNA, 560 nt
Filed under: Curvularia verruculosa
Lineage: Eukaryota; Fungi; Ascomycota; Dothideomycetes; Pleosporales; Pleosporaceae
Description: eukaryotic LSU rRNA
Rfam family: 5.8S ribosomal RNA (bases 233-386)
Source: RNAcentral
GCCUUCAUAUUUUUCAUUUGUGUAAUGAUCUUUCUUCCGGAAUGGUAACCUGCGGAGGGAUCAUUACACAAAUGAAAAUAUGAAGGCCCUUCAAACCGGCUGGAUUAUUUUUCUUCACCCUUGUCUUUUGCGCACUUGUUGUUUCCUGGGCGGGUUCGCUCGCCACCAGGACCACACCAUAAACCUUUUUGUUAAUGCAAUCAGCGUCAGUAAAAAGUAAUAAUUAUUUUACAACUUUCAACAACGGAUCUCUUGGUUCUGGCAUCGAUGAAGAACGCAGCGAAAUGCGAUACGUAGUGUGAAUUGCAGAAUUCAGUGAAUCAUCGAAUCUUUGAACGCACAUUGCGCCCUUUGGUAUUCCAAAGGGCAUGCCUGUUCGAGCGUCAUUUGUACCCUCAAGCUUUGCUUGGUGUUGGGCGUUGUUUGUCUUUGGCCUUGCCCAAAGACUCGCCUUAAAACAAUUGGCAGCCGGCCUACUGGUUUCGCAGCGCAGCACAUUUUUGCGCUUGCAAUCAGCAAAAGAGGUUGGCCAUCCAUCAAGACUACAUUUAUACGUUGAC